UAAAGGCUCACCAAGGCAUCGAUCAGUAGCUGGUCUGAGAGGACCACCAGCCACACUGGGACAGAAACACGGCCCAGACUCCUACGGGAGGCAGCAGUGGGGAAUUUUGGACAAUGGGCGCAAGCCUGAUCCAGCAAUGCCGCGUGAGUGAAGAAGGCCUUCGGGUUGUAAAGCUCUUUUGUCAGGGAAGAAACGGCUCUGGUUAAUACCUGGGGCUAAUGACGGUACCUGAAGAAUAAGCACCGGCUAACUACCUGCCAGCAGCCGCGGUAAUACGUAUGGUGCAAGCGUUAAUCGGAAUUACUGGGCGUAAAGCGUGCGCAGGCGGUUGUGUAAGACAGGUGUGAAAUCCCCGGGCUUAACCUGGGAAUGGCAUUUGUGACUGCACGGCUAGAGUGUGUCAGAGGGGGGUAGAAUUCCACGUGUAGCAGUGAAAUG
RNAcentral lists this ribosomal RNA (438 nucleotides) under uncultured beta proteobacterium. Its description in RNAcentral is "bacterial SSU rRNA". It matches the Rfam family "Bacterial small subunit ribosomal RNA", at positions 258 to 688 of the family's 1533-position model. The record is from RNAcentral. Lineage: Bacteria; Pseudomonadati; Pseudomonadota; Betaproteobacteria.